RNAcentral lists this ribosomal RNA (164 nucleotides) under Lindleya mespiloides. Its description in RNAcentral is "5.8S ribosomal RNA". It matches the Rfam family "5.8S ribosomal RNA". From Rfam's summary of the family: 5.8S ribosomal RNA (5.8S rRNA) is a component of the large subunit of the eukaryotic ribosome. Lineage: Eukaryota; Viridiplantae; Streptophyta; Magnoliopsida; Rosales; Rosaceae. The record is from RNAcentral.
CAAAACGACUCUCGGCAACGGAUAUCUCGGCUCUCGCAUCGAUGAAGAACGUAGGGAAAUGCGAUACUUGGUGUGAAUUGCAGAAUCCCGUGAACCAUGGAGUCUUUGAACCCAAGUUGCGCCCGAAGCCAUUAGGCCGAGGGCACGUCUGCCUGGGCGUCACA